This 122-nucleotide ribosomal RNA is filed under the name Anolis carolinensis (green anole). Lineage: Eukaryota; Metazoa; Chordata; Lepidosauria; Squamata; Anolidae. The record is from RNAcentral.
UUUAGUAGACUCCAAAAUGCUCUGAAAGUACUAGAUCCAGUCCAAUCUUGGAAGCUAAGCAGGAUCAGCUCUGGUUAGUACUUAGAUGGGAGACCAUUAGUGAAUGCCAGAUACUGCAAUAU